CCCUUAGAUGUCCUGGGCCGCACGCGCGUUACACUGAUGCAUUCAACGAGCUUAUAACCUUGGCCGAGAGGCCUGGGCAAUCUUGUUAACGUGCAUCGUGAUAGGGAUAGAUUAUUGAAAUUAUUAAUCUUGAACGAGGAAUUCCUAGUAAACGCAGAUCAUCAAUCUGCAUUGAUUACGUCCCUGCCCUUUGUACACACCGCCCGUCGCUACUACUGAUUGGAUGUUUAAGCGAGGUUCUCGAACUGCUAGUGACUGAUCUUCGGUGAGGUCGCAGUGUGGGAAGUGAACCUAGCUUUGGUGUCUAGAGGAAGUAAAAGUCGUAACA
Molecule: ribosomal RNA, 328 nt
Filed under: uncultured eukaryote
Lineage: Eukaryota
Description: partial 18S ribosomal RNA
Rfam family: Eukaryotic small subunit ribosomal RNA
Source: RNAcentral